Molecule: ribosomal RNA, 253 nt
Filed under: uncultured bacterium
Lineage: Bacteria
Description: partial 16S ribosomal RNA
Rfam family: Bacterial small subunit ribosomal RNA
Source: RNAcentral
UACGUAGGGUGCAAGCGUUAAUCGGAAUUACUGGGCGUAAAGCGUGCGCAGGCGGUUAUGCAAGACAGAUGUGAAAUCCCCGGGCUUAACCUGGGAACUGCAUUUGUGACUGCAUAGCUGGAGUACGGCAGAGGGGGGUGGAAUUCCGCGUGUAGCAGUGAAAUGCGUAGAUAUGCGGAGGAACACCGAUGGCGAAGGCAGUCCCCUGGGCCUGUACUGACGCUCAUGCACGAAAGCGUGGGGAGCAAACAGG